UGCAGUCGAGCGAACGGACGAGAAGCUUGCUUCUCUGAUGUUAGCGGCGGACGGGUGAGUAACACGUGGAUAACCUACCUAUAAGACUGGGAUAACUUCGGGAAACCGGAGCUAAUACCGGAUAAUAUUUUGAACCGCAUGGUUCAAAAGUGAAAGACGGUCUUGCUGUCACUUAUAGAUGGAUCCGCGCUGCAUUAGCUAGUUGGUAAGGUAACGGCUUACCAAGGCAACGAUGCAUAGCCGACCUGAGAGGGUGAUCGGCCACACUGGAACUGAGACACGGUCCAGACUCCUACGGGAGGCAGCAGUAGGGAAUCUUCCGCAAUGGGCGAAAGCCUGACGGAGCAACGCCGCGUGAGUGAUGAAGGUCUUCGGAUCGUAAAACUCUGUUAUUAGGGAAGAACAUAUGUGUAAGUAACUGUGCACAUCUUGACGGUACCUAAUCAGAAAGCCACGGCUAACUACGUGCCAGCAGCCGCGGUAAUACGUAGGUGGCAAGCGUUAUCCGGAAUUAUUGGGCGUAAAGCGCGCGUAGGCGGUUUUUUAAGUCUGAUGUGAAAGCCCACGGCUCAACCGUGGAGGGUCAUUGGAAACUGGAAAACUUGAGUGCAGAAGAGGAAAGUGGAAUUCCAUGUGUAGCGGUGAAAUGCGCAGAGAUAUGGAGGAACACCAGUGGCGAAGGCGACUUUCUGGUCUGUAACUGACGCUGAUGUGCGAAAGCGUGGGGAUCAAA
Molecule: ribosomal RNA, 733 nt
Filed under: Staphylococcus sp. AB29C1-2
Lineage: Bacteria; Bacillati; Bacillota; Bacilli; Caryophanales; Staphylococcaceae
Description: bacterial SSU rRNA
Rfam family: Bacterial small subunit ribosomal RNA
Source: RNAcentral